This 440-nucleotide ribosomal RNA is filed under the name uncultured bacterium. RNAcentral describes it as "bacterial SSU rRNA". It matches the Rfam family "Bacterial small subunit ribosomal RNA", at positions 288 to 720 of the family's 1533-position model. The record is from RNAcentral.
UGGUCUGAGAGGAUGAUCAGCCACACUGGAACUGAGACACGGUCCAGACUCCGUACGGGAGGCAGCAGGUGGGGUAAUUUUGCGCAAUGGGACGAAAGCCUGACGCAGCAACGCCGCGUGUGUGACGAAGGCCCUAGGGUUGUAAAGCACUGUGGGAAGGGAAGAAAAAACGGGGGUUGUACCCCGUCUUGACGGUACCUUGUUAGAAAGCACCGGCUAACUCCGUGCCAGCAGCCGCGGUAAUACGGAGGGUGCAAGCGUUGUUCGGAAUUAUUGGGCGUAAAGGGCGUGUAGGUGGCUUGCCAAGUCUGGUGUGAAAGCCCACGGCUCAACCGUGGAACUGCAUUGGAAACUGGCAAGCUCGAGUGUUGGAGGGGGUCGCGGAAUUCCCGGUGUAGAGGUGAAAUUCGUAGAUAUCGGGAGGAACACCAGUGGCGAAG